GCAGACACAUUCCAGCCAAUCAGCAGCAGACCCUCCCUCCCAGACCCUCCCACCUCCUGGACAGCAUCCAUUGCAAAGCUGCAUUCUUAGUGAGCUGUCCAGGAGGUGGGAGGGUCUGGGAGGGAGGGUCUGCUGCUGAUUGGCUGGAAUGUGUCUG
This is a non-coding RNA of Pelobates cultripes (western spadefoot toad), 157 nucleotides long. The record is from the annotation of a GenBank genome assembly. NCBI's taxonomy places the organism in Eukaryota, Metazoa, Chordata, Amphibia, Anura, Pelobatidae.